Molecule: small nuclear RNA, 117 nt
Filed under: Dasypus novemcinctus (nine-banded armadillo)
Lineage: Eukaryota; Metazoa; Chordata; Mammalia; Cingulata; Dasypodidae
Description: U5 spliceosomal RNA (ENSDNOG00000046021.1)
Rfam family: U5 spliceosomal RNA
About the family: U5 RNA is a component of both types of known spliceosome.
Source: RNAcentral
AUAAUCUGUUUCCUUUUCAGGUCAUAUAAACCUUUUGCUUUUUACUAAAGAUUUCUGUGAAGAGAAACAAGUCUGAGUUUCUAGGAAUCUUUUUUGAGGCUUUGCUUCAGUAAGGCU